GACGAACGCUGGCGGCGUGCCUAAUACAUGCAAGUAGAACGCUGAAGGAGGAGCUUGCUCUUCUGGAUGAGUUGCGAACGGGUGAGUAACGCGUAGGUAACCUGCCUAGUAGUGGGGGAUAACUAUUGGAAACGAUAGCUAAUACCGCAUAAUAACAGUUGUUGCAUGACAACUGUUUGAAAGGUGCAAUUGCAUCACUACCAGAUGGACCUGCGUUGUAUUAGCCAGUUGGUGGGGUAACGGCUCACCAAGGCGACGAUACAUAGCCGACCUGAGAGGGUGAUCGGCCACACUGGGACUGAGACACGGCCCAGACUCCUACAGGAGGCAGCAGUAGGGAAUCUUCGGCAAUGGACGAAAGUCUGACCGAGCAACGCCGCGUGAGUGAAGAAGGUUUUCGGAUCGUAAAGCUCUGUUGUAAGAGAAGAACGAGUGUGAGAGUGGAAAGUUCACACUGUGACG
Molecule: ribosomal RNA, 462 nt
Filed under: Streptococcus sp. oral taxon C56
Lineage: Bacteria; Bacillati; Bacillota; Bacilli; Lactobacillales; Streptococcaceae
Description: bacterial SSU rRNA
Rfam family: Bacterial small subunit ribosomal RNA
Source: RNAcentral